Molecule: transfer RNA, 74 nt
Filed under: Pseudonocardiaceae bacterium
Lineage: Bacteria; Bacillati; Actinomycetota; Actinomycetes; Pseudonocardiales; Pseudonocardiaceae
Also listed under: 3 other names
Description: tRNA-Arg
Rfam family: tRNA
About the family: Transfer RNA (tRNA) molecules are approximately 80 nucleotides in length.
Source: RNAcentral
GCGCCGGUAGCUCAGCGGAUUAGAGCAUCUGACUACGGAUCAGAAGGUCGGGGGUUCGAAUCCCUCCCGGCGCG